Perca fluviatilis (European perch) is the source of this 496-nucleotide long non-coding RNA. RefSeq lists it as uncharacterized. The transcript is spliced from 3 exons. NCBI's taxonomy places the organism in Eukaryota, Metazoa, Chordata, Actinopteri, Perciformes, Percidae. The record is from RefSeq and is a predicted model, not a curated record.
AUUACUAUGACGGAAUGAAAGAGACAUCCAAAGCAGGUGGUGGAGUUGUUAAAGUCAAUGAUGCGGAAGUGAGGAGACUCAUGUUACAAAGCUGGAUUGCAGGACACUUGGUCCUUGUAACAAAAAAUAAAUAAAAUUGGUGGUGCGAUCGUCACAUGGAAGUCUGAAGAUAAGUGUACAGCGACUCCAAGAGGAGUGUGACGUUGUUCCUGUUUGUUGGGUUAAAAAAUUAUCUGGGAUGAUGUUGAGGAGGCGUGCAGGAAAAUGUGGGGAAAUCAGCAUCCUGAACCAGGAGGACAAGACAGCCUUUACUGCAGAGACAGAAGCUGUAAGGGGCAUGGCUGGCAAUACCCACCUGGAUUGGCCUGAGGAGGAAUGACUUCACUCACCCGUGGGCAAGGUCCAGUGUGUACCUACCUCCCCAUGAGCACAGCAGGAAAUUCAGCAUAGAAAUGCUCUGUGCUUCAGAAUCCAGGGAACUGGAGACCUGAGACAU